GGAAUCUUCCACAAUGGACGCAAGUCUGAUGGAGCAACGCCGCGUGAGUGAAGAAGGUCUUCGGAUCGUAAAACUCUGUUGUUAGAGAAGAACACGAGUGAGAGUAACUGUUCAUUCGAUGACGGUAUCUAACCAGCAAGUCACGGCUAACUACGUGCUAG
This 161-nucleotide ribosomal RNA is filed under the name uncultured bacterium. RNAcentral's name for it is "partial 16S rRNA". It matches the Rfam family "Bacterial small subunit ribosomal RNA", at positions 358 to 511 of the family's 1533-position model. The record is from RNAcentral.